GAUGAAGAACGUAGCGAAAUGCGAUAAGUAAUGCGAAUUGCAGAAUUUCCGUGAGUCAUCGAAUCUUUGAACGCACAUUGCGCCCACUGGUAUUCCGGUGGGCAUGCCUGUUCGAGCGUCAUUAUCCUCCCUCAAACCCCGGGUUUGGUGUUGGACCGAAGUUGUGUGAACAACUGGUCUGAAAGACAAUGACGGCGUCCGUGGGACCCUCAGUGCAACGAGCUUUCACAAGCACGCAUUGAGUUGCAAGGACCCUCCGGGCCGGUCUACUGUAACAUUUUCUAAAAGUUGACCUCGGAUCAGGUAGGAAUACCCGCUGAACUUAAGCAUAUCAAUAAGCGGAGGA
RNAcentral lists this unclassified non-coding RNA (346 nucleotides) under soil metagenome. RNAcentral's name for it is "partial contains 5.8S ribosomal RNA, internal transcribed spacer 2, and large subunit ribosomal RNA". The stretch from base 1 to 121 matches the Rfam family "5.8S ribosomal RNA", at positions 35 to 154 of the family's 154-position model. The record is from RNAcentral.